RNAcentral lists this ribosomal RNA (252 nucleotides) under uncultured bacterium. RNAcentral's name for it is "partial 16S ribosomal RNA". It matches the Rfam family "Bacterial small subunit ribosomal RNA", at positions 524 to 776 of the family's 1533-position model. The record is from RNAcentral.
UACAGAGACUGCAAGCGUUAUUCGGAUUUACUGGGCGUAAAGGGUGCGUAGGCGGUCUUUCAAGUCAGGAGUGAAAGGCUACGGCUCAACCGUAGUAAGCUCUUGAAACUGUAAGACUUGAGUGCAGGAGAGGAGAGUGGAAUUCCUGGUGUAGCGGUGAAAUGCGCAGAUAUCAGGAAGAACACCCGUGGCGAAGGCGGCUCUCUGGGACGGUACUGACGCUGAGACGCGAAAGCGUGGGGAGCGAACAGG